Molecule: long non-coding RNA, 652 nt
Organism: Mytilus californianus (California mussel)
Lineage: Eukaryota; Metazoa; Mollusca; Bivalvia; Mytilida; Mytilidae
Exons: 2
Source: RefSeq, a predicted model, not a curated record
UUCUAUAUGGACGAACAGCAAAAGCUCUUAAGUUUCAAAUGUAGCCAACAGAUUUCCACAGGCCAUUGGGGAUGGAAAUAUCACGGAACUGUUGGAUCAGUUCUCAUAGUAUUUAAGCUGUCUUCUGAUGAACUACCCAGUUUUGACCAGGCAAUAGCAACAUAUAUUGUAUAGUUUGUUGGGAGCAAUGGCAGAGAUCAUAGAUGACAUUUUAGAUGGCAAAAAAACAUUAUGACACUCUUUCAAAGCUUCAUGAAUCUAUUUUAGUUCAGCCAAAUAUCAAUUCUGACUGUGAGAGAUCAUUUUCAAUUAUAAAGAAAUUUACACUGAAUUCUGAUCAGAACUCGACAAUGAUAUAUUGUGUGCCUUGUUAUCAAGUAAAUGUAACAAAACCAGCAGGUGUUUUGACUAUGUGCCUAGUGGUGUUCAUAGGCGGAUCCAGAAAUUUUCAUAAGUGGGGGCCCACUGACUGCCUAAGAGGGGGCCCGCUCCAGUCAUGCUUCAGUGAUUCCCUAUAUAAUCAACCAAAUUUUUCCCAAAAAAGGGGGGGCCCGGGCCCCCUGGGCCCCCCCUAAAUCCGCCUCUGGUGUUGCUUUAAAUUAAAAGCAGCAAAACAGACCACUGUUGAAUACAAUAAAAGUUUACAGUUGAA